GAAAAAAAGUUUGAAUUAUGGCGAGAAAUAAAAGUCUGAAACAUGAUUAAACUCCUAAGCAGAAAACCUACCGCGCUUCGCUUGGUCAACCCCUCAGCGGCAAAAAUUAAAAUUUUUACCGCUUCGGCGUUAUAACCUCACACUCAAUCUUUUAUCACGAAGUCAUGAUUGAAUCGCGAGUGGUCGGCAGAUUGCGAUAAACGGU
Molecule: ribosomal RNA, 205 nt
Filed under: uncultured prokaryote
Description: partial 16S ribosomal RNA
Source: RNAcentral